GGGCCCAUAGCUCAACGGUAGAGCUGCCGGCUCAUAACCGGUCGGUUCCUGGUUCGAAUCCGGGUGGGCCCACCA
Molecule: transfer RNA, 75 nt
Filed under: bacterium
Lineage: Bacteria
Also listed under: 3 other names
Description: tRNA-Ile
Rfam family: tRNA
About the family: Transfer RNA (tRNA) molecules are approximately 80 nucleotides in length.
Source: RNAcentral